GUAGUUAGUUUAGUUGUUCCUGGCAGUAAAUGGAGUCCCUGGUUUUUUAUGUAUGCGUCACUGACGAAUAACCAUACAUAAAUACAAACUUACUUACCAACCCACUUCGUCUGACUGUGCAUCCAACUGACUUCAAGUAAGAUAAGCCAGAGUACAACUAAUUGCUCCCCCCUCCUGAUUGAGAACGUGUAUCUGGUGAAAUACGGUCAGCAGCCCCCCCCCCCUUCCCUGAAUCUUGUCUAUCCUGAAUAGUGACUGAUAUCCCACAGCGAGUACUACCCUCCUGCAGCAACCCCUUACAGUUUCCUAGGGGAGUGUGGCCCCCCUUUCCCACACCGCAUCAAAUUUUUCAGUUUCACUCAUUUCUCAGUUUAUAGAUUAUGGGUAUGAGCCUGUGUAAAAUACACAUUUUUUUGCAAACUCCAGCCUGGCUCUUCCCUGCUUCUCAUUGAUGAAGGGCUUCUUCCUUGCUUUAUGGGUCUUCACCGCUGCUUCUAGGAGCCUGUCCCACCAGUACACUUCACACUUAAUGUUUUCCAUUCCUUUUUUAAGGUCACUUGAGGUCAUCCUCCGAUUUGUUAGACACUGACGGAUAAGUUGAUGGUCAUCUCUGGCAUUAGAAGGUUGCUUCAGCCCUCUACCUGUGUACUGCGGUCUUAGAAACUCAUGAGCAUGGAAGCAGCCUGCCUCACAUUGUAGCCUUCUGCCAGCAGAACCAGGAUUAAACCAGAAUUUAACAAUGCAGAUUUGAAAAAGUAUAUAGAGUGGUCUCUUAACUUUUUUCCAGAGCUGUGUGUUGUUUAUUUUAUGUUUUGGCUGCAUGUUUGAACCUGAGAGCAGUUUUCAAAUGGAGUCUGUUUGAGAAUACUAUAUUCACACCCCCAAAACCUUCGUAUCCCAAAUACUGCAUCAUGAAAGGUGAAAACUGGUAGGUUUAUGCUGGUGAAAUAAUGAAGAUAGAUGCUGCUGCUUUUAAAUCAUUCACAAGGUUGUUUAUUGAAAUGGUUUAUUGAAAGGCAUCUAACAAUUUCAAACACAUAUGGAGAUAUAAUAGACAUUCGCCUCAGAAUUAUAUUUUAUGUAAUUUUAUCUUUAAAGUGACCUUAUUAAAUUUGUUCCCCGAAGUAAUAAUUUCAUCUCACACCCUGAGUGCUUUUGCACUCUGGUUAUAUGUGCUGUUAGUGUGCUAGCAGCAUUUUCUACCCAGGGAGUCUGAUCGAAACCCAAAAUCAAGCUGCUGCUGUGAGCUCCUGCUGAGCACCCUGCUCGGAGGCAUGUACACUCGACGGACGCUACGGAGUGCUCCAGUGACCGCCCACUAGUAUAUAUCUGCUGGACUCGACACUCGCCGUACCGUACACCAGACAAAGCAUAACACAGUGUGGUGAACAGUGAUUUCUAUCAUCUAUAUUCUUGUCCUCAGUAGGCGUUAUGAUGCUGACGUGUCACUGAACGUGUCAGGCAAUGUAGUCCAUAUCUGGUUUGAUAUCUUACUCCUGGGGAUACCUGCAUUUCUAGGGACACAUUGAACUGCUUAUAGACUUUUCACAUUUCCCUUUGUCUUCAUGAAAUAGUUUCUCAAUUGGAUUUCUACAGAAGUUCAGAAGAGCAGGCCUUGAUUUCUUUGGACAACCUGUGCUUAAAGCAUGUGACUGGACAUUAUUAUUCUUAGAGAUGGAGAAAUAUGCGUCUUCUCUGUUCAUUCCUAGAAUAAGGAAUGAAAUACAGGCAAUCUACAGCCCAAGGAAGGCAGACAACCGCCUCUAUCUGAUUACAUGGUCGACACUAAGUGAACUAUAGACAAGGUCUCACUUAGAUGCAGUUCUCCUUGAUGUAGCUGGGUUUGAUUUGUGGCUGGUGUGUAGCUGGCCUCUGAGAUGUUGCUCAUGACCCUGUUCAGCGCAGGAAACAUCCAUCAGUGAGCAGGAGGGUGUUCCUUGCUGCGGCACGCAAGAAGGUGAGGCCGGGACAUAAAUACCCUGUGUGACAUGGGGCCUCGGGACACUCCAGUGGGCCAGUCUAAUUAAGAACUGAGUCCAUGAGCCUCCAUAUUCCCGUCUCUUUAGCCCAACAGAACUUUUCUCAGCAUGACCCUGACAUCAGGUAUAUGAGUUCAGCCCCCAUAUCUAUGGCCCCCAGGAAGCAGGGGGAGGGGCAAUAUUCCCUGCCUAGUUUGGUUCCUUCACUCAAGUUAUUUCCCUUGAUGCUUUCCGCCUCUUCUCUUUGAGCAGAUCUGUGUUAUAUAAUGUUAUAGAUGGUUUAUUGCAUCAAGCCUUAUUCCUACCCAGUGGUGCUGUAAAUUCAUUAGUGUGGAAAUGGCGUAGGGUGAACCGGUGUAUGUGUCCACUUGUGUUUGGAUUUGCUUGCAAAAUGUCUUUUUUCCAGACUAAGAUUUUGUUUUAACCAAUCAGUUGAGUGCUCUGUGAAUGUGACUUCUUAUACUACUGGUUGGUUGAAACAAAAUCUUGGUCUGGAUUUGUGCCCUGUGGACUGGAAGUCUCCACCUCUGAUGAACUUACAGUUUUGAGAACAGAGUCGCAGCCUCAGCAGAUUUGCUUUUAUUGUAACUCUGGAUAAGAAAGAUUUCACCGUGUUUAAAUGUUGGUGCCUUUAAAUGAAACGACAAAAUAUUCAGUGUUUAUUCUGUUAUUUUCAAACUAGCAAACAAGUGUUCGUUUUGUAGAAAGGUUACAUAUUUGUUAAAUCAAUAUUUGCCUAUAAAUUAAAUACUUAAUUUAUAAUAAUAAUAAUAAUAAUCGAUACUUUUA
Long non-coding RNA from Brienomyrus brachyistius, 2768 nucleotides. RefSeq lists it as uncharacterized. The record is from RefSeq and is a predicted model, not a curated record. NCBI's taxonomy places the organism in Eukaryota, Metazoa, Chordata, Actinopteri, Osteoglossiformes, Mormyridae. The transcript is spliced from 3 exons.